This 431-nucleotide ribosomal RNA is filed under the name uncultured bacterium. Its description in RNAcentral is "bacterial SSU rRNA". It matches the Rfam family "Bacterial small subunit ribosomal RNA", at positions 29 to 460 of the family's 1533-position model. The record is from RNAcentral.
AUUGAACGCUGGCGGCAUGCUUUACACAUGCAAGUCGAACGGCAGCACGGGGGCAACCCUGGUGGCGAGUGGCGAACGGGUGAGUAAUAUAUCGGAACGUACCCGGAAAUGGGGGAUAACGUAGCGAAAGUUACGCUAAUACCGCAUAUGCCCUAAGGGGGGAAAGCGGGGGAUUCGCAAGAACCUCGCGUUUUCGGAGCGGCCGAUAUCGGAUUAGCUAGUAGGUGAGGUAAAGGCUCACCUAGGCGACGAUCCGUAGCUGGUCUGAGAGGACGACCAGCCACACUGGAACUGAGACACGGUCCAGACUCCUACGGGAGGCAGCAGUGGGGAAUUUUGGACAAUGGGCGCAAGCCUGAUCCAGCCAUGCCGCGUGAGUGAAGAAGGCCUCGGUGUAAGACGUCUUCUACGACGGAAACGGAAACGAACGG